GCACAAGCGGUGGAGCAUGUGGUUCAAUUCGACGCAACGCGAAGAACCUUACCUGGGCUCGAAAUGUAGUGGACCGGGGUGGAAACAUCCCUUUUCGCAAGAACUGCUAUAUAGGUGCUGCAUGGCUGUCGUCAGCUCGUGUCGUGAGAUGUUGGGUUAAGUCCCGCAACGAGCGCAACCCUUAUUGCCAGUUGCCAUCAUUCAGUUGGGCACUCUGGCGAAACCGCCCCGGAUAACGGGGAGGAAGGUGGGGAUGACGUCAAGUCCUCAUGGCCUUUAUGUCCAGGGCUACACACGUGCUACAAUGGUCGGUACAAACCGUCGCAAACCUGCGAAGGGGAGCUAAUCGGAAAAAGCCGACCUCAGUUCGGAUUGGAGUCUGCAACUCGACUCCAUGAAGCUGGAAUCGCUAGUAAUCGCGGAUCAGAACGCCGCGGUGAAUACGUUCCCGGGC
Molecule: ribosomal RNA, 454 nt
Filed under: uncultured bacterium
Lineage: Bacteria
Description: bacterial SSU rRNA
Rfam family: Bacterial small subunit ribosomal RNA
Source: RNAcentral